AGUGAACGCUGGCGGUAGGCCUAACACAUGCAAGUCGAACGGCAGCACAGGAGAGCUUGCUCUCUGGGUGGCGAGUGGCGGACGGGUGAGGAAUACAUCGGAAUCUACUCUGUCGUGGGGGAUAACGUAGGGAAACUUACGCUAAUACCGCAUACGACCUACGGGUGAAAGCAGGGGACCUUCGGGCCUUGCGCGAUUGAAUGAGCCGAUGUCGGAUUAGCUAGUUGGCGGGGUAAAGGCCCACCAAGGCGACGAUCCGUAGCUGGUCUGAUAGGAUGAUCAGCCACACUGGAACUGAGACACGGUCCAUACUCCUACGGGGGACAGCAGUUGGGAAUAUUGGACAAUGGGCGCAAGCCUAGUCCAGCCAUACCGCGUGGGUGAAGAAGGCCUUCGGGUUGUAAAGCCCUUUUGUUGGGAAAGAAAUCCAGCUGGCUAAUACCCGGUUGGGAUGACGGUACCCAAAGAAUAAGCACCGGCUAACUUCGUGCCAGCCGCCGCCGUAA
Molecule: ribosomal RNA, 506 nt
Filed under: uncultured bacterium
Lineage: Bacteria
Description: partial 16S ribosomal RNA
Rfam family: Bacterial small subunit ribosomal RNA
Source: RNAcentral